Molecule: ribosomal RNA, 253 nt
Filed under: uncultured bacterium
Lineage: Bacteria
Description: partial 16S ribosomal RNA
Rfam family: Bacterial small subunit ribosomal RNA
Source: RNAcentral
UACAGAGGGGGCGAGCGUUAUUCGGAAUUAUUGGGCGUAAAGAGCGUGUAGGCGGCCAGGUAGGUCUGCUGUGAAAACUCGAGGCUCAACCUCGAGACGUCGGCGGAAACCAUCUGGCUAGAGUCCGGAAGAGGAGAGUGGAAUUCCUGGUGUAGCGGUGAAAUGCGCAGAUAUCGGGAGGAACACCAGUGGCGAAGGCGACUACCUGGCCUGUUCUUGACGCUGAGGCGCGAAAGCUAGGGGAGCAAACGGG